UGUUGGAGUUUCCCUUCGGCGGCACACGUGCACUGAGAAGAAAGUUAAACUAAUAGAGAAGUUACAAGAGAAGUAAAUAUGUAAUAAGCAGAGCCAGGCCUCAAGUCCCAAAUGCCUUGAAGGAUUGGGCUAUUUGAAAUAGGAGAUAUGGCCCAGUACUGAAAUGUACAUUUCUUAUUCUAGUCAUGAUGGAAUAUGCAACUGACAGCAUCGUGCUAUUUCAUGAAAAGUAAUAAUUGAGUUUUACUUACACAUUGUUUUACCUUUAUAGAUUUGAGGUUGAUACAUAUAUUCUGGAACAUGAUUACACUUCCUGCUGGCUGCCACCGUCAGAGCGCUACAGGAAGCUGUGACAGUACUGCCAGUUGUGCAGUGAGGAAUGCGAGGAGGCAUGGAGCACCUUCUGGUCUGUGUUACAGCACAGGUGUGGCAUGAGAGGAGGGAAAGUAAGGACAAAUAUUUCCUGCUGGAUUUCUCCUCUCUCUCCCACGUGCCUUCCUUUCAUUUACCUUUCAGAUGGCUUUCCUCAUACCCUCCCAUGUGUCCGUGCUCUGUUCUCAACCCCUGUUCCCUCUGGGUAACCUCAUCCAAGUUCUGCUGCUCUUUAUGCUGACGACUCAGAGAUCUUGCUCUCUUCCUCACCUGUUUGUUAAUUUGAAUUCAAGUCUGAGCU
This 673-nucleotide long non-coding RNA is filed under the name Gallus gallus (chicken). RNAcentral's name for it is "long non-coding RNA NONGGAT009443". Lineage: Eukaryota; Metazoa; Chordata; Aves; Galliformes; Phasianidae. The record is from RNAcentral.